GCCCGCGUAGCUCAGCCGGAUAGAGCGUUUGCCUCCUAAGCGAAAGGUCACCUGUUCAAAUCGGGUCGCGGGCGCCA
This 77-nucleotide transfer RNA is filed under the name Marinospirillum sp. RNAcentral describes it as "tRNA-Arg". It matches the Rfam family "tRNA". Rfam says of the family: Transfer RNA (tRNA) molecules are approximately 80 nucleotides in length. Their secondary structure includes four short double-helical elements and three loops (D, anti-codon, and T loops). Further hydrogen bonds mediate the characteristic L-shaped molecular structure. tRNAs have two regions of fundamental functional importance: the anti-codon, which is responsible for specific mRNA codon recognition, and the 3' end, to which the tRNAs corresponding amino acid is attached (by aminoacyl-tRNA synthetases). tRNAs cope with the degeneracy of the genetic code in two manners: having more than one tRNA (with a specific anti-codon) for a particular amino acid; and 'wobble' base-pairing, i.e. permitting non-standard base-pairing at the 3rd anti-codon position. Lineage: Bacteria; Pseudomonadati; Pseudomonadota; Gammaproteobacteria; Oceanospirillales; Oceanospirillaceae. The record is from RNAcentral.